UGUCAGAAAAACUUCAGGAUCAGCCCCGAAGGCUCAAUAAAACCAAAGCUCUGUUAACGACGUUUAAUAGGCUCUAUCUAGCAACGUCUGUGAUAGAGGAGGCAGCAAUCAGCAGUGAGGCCAGUUUAAUAAAGGAUGUUUCUAAGCCACAAAUGUGUUUUCCCAGCUUGUUAAUGACACUUGGUUGCAAAGGACGGCAGCAUUCCUCUCCUGCACCUGGCACUCCGUUUCCCUGCUGAGCUGUGCAGUGUAUGGGAUCCGUGCUCUGUGGGUGCUCCCCAGGACUCCAGCGCUGGGACAGGGCACAGGGGUGGGAAGGGGUUCCUAGGGGAUCCCCAACCCCUGCACUGUGGGACAGUGGUGCUGCCGGGGAGCUUUCAGAGCUGAGAUUUCAGUUCUCUGCUCGGCCGCAUUCCCCAAAGACCACAGCAGGGAUUUACCGAUGAGGGCGUCAGUUCUUCCUCCCGCACCCGUACAAUCGCUGUCCGUGUAUCUCGGCUCCCUUCCAAGCCCUAAGGGAACAGCCAGGUUCAAGUCACCUUGCCCCAAAUUCCCCUUAAUCCCUCUACUCUGGGGCGGAAGAAAGAGACACCUCCUCCACACCCCUCCUCCCCUUCCCGGAGUCGGAUUUGAAUACCCAGGUGUGAGCAUCAGCCACCCUCGAGUUAACGAGUUUGAUAAUUUACCCGGCUCAUUCCUGCCGGAGGGAUCCGAACGCAGCGCGGCUCUUCCCGGCCCCGCACCGCCACCCGCAGCCCUACCGCCCCGCAUCGUAACCCCGCACCAUGCCGGCCCUGCGGCUCCUCGCCCUCGGGCUCCUCCUGGCUCUGGAGCCCGCGAGCUGCCAGGAAGGGAUAACGUUGAGACAGUGGUAAGCAUUGGGGCCAAGGAAGAGGCUGUUGUGCCCAACGGACGUGAAGGGACAUACGUGACCUCUGCAGUGGACUUCAGGUCCAAGGAGAACAAGCACGCCUAUGAAAACACUUUGGAUCCAGAGGAGAAGGUGAUCACCACUGCCAUGUAGCACCAGCUGGUGGUGGGACCCUCUGCACUGACAUCCCCAUGCAUGGCAGAUCCUCUGUCCCAGGCCUUCAGACUUUUGUCCUUUUUUUAGACCCUAAGAAAGGUCUGGGGCUGUCACCUCCCCAGCCCUGUGGCCAUCCCCUCACCUUCUUAGCCCAGCUGAUGUCCCCCAGCCCCUGGACCAGGGGAUGCUGACCCAUUCCAGAUGCUGCUGCAUGCAUGGGACCCCAUGUUCCCUCCCCAAAUCCCUUCCCCUCUGGGAAACUGUCAAUGGAAAACCCACUCUCGUGUCAACAUCUCAUCCUCCUUUUUAUGAACAAAGGCUCCAUGCCAUGCAUUUCAAACUCAGAACAAAUCGCCUCCCCUGUACAUAUAUUCUCUGCCAGCAAUAAAGGGAAUUGCUGUCCAUCCA
Molecule: long non-coding RNA, 1435 nt
Filed under: Chrysolophus pictus (golden pheasant)
Lineage: Eukaryota; Metazoa; Chordata; Aves; Galliformes; Phasianidae
Description: lncRNA (ENSCPIG00010005484.1)
Source: RNAcentral